CGCGAACGUUGGCGGCGUGCCUAACACAUGCAAGUCGUGGGGCUGCAGGCUACUACCUUCGGGUAGUAGUGCUGGCGACCGGCAAACGGGUGAGUAACACGUAGCUUACCUACCCAUAGGUUGGGGAUAACAUCCCGAAAGGGGUGCUAAUACCCAAUAAUGAGGAGACUCCAAAGCCCUUAUGGGCGCCUAUGGAUGGGGCUGCGUCCCAUCAGCUAGUUGGUGAGGUAAUGGCUCACCAAGGCUACGACGGGUAACCGGUCUGAGAGGAUGACCGGUCACAGUGGGACUGAGACACGGCCCGCACCCCUACGGGGGGCAGCAGUGGGGAAUAUUGGGCAAUGGCCGAAAGGCUGACCCAGCAACGCCGCGUGGUGGAUGAAGCCCUUCGGGGUGUAAACACCUUUUCUGGGGGAAGAUAAUGACGGUACCCCAGGAAUAAGGGACGGCUAACUACGUGCCAGCAGCCGCGGUAAUACGUAG
RNAcentral lists this ribosomal RNA (483 nucleotides) under uncultured Sulfurihydrogenibium sp. RNAcentral's name for it is "bacterial SSU rRNA". It matches the Rfam family "Bacterial small subunit ribosomal RNA", at positions 29 to 530 of the family's 1533-position model. The record is from RNAcentral. Lineage: Bacteria; Pseudomonadati; Aquificota; Aquificia; Aquificales; Hydrogenothermaceae.